RNAcentral lists this ribosomal RNA (504 nucleotides) under uncultured bacterium. RNAcentral describes it as "partial 16S ribosomal RNA". It matches the Rfam family "Bacterial small subunit ribosomal RNA", at positions 28 to 507 of the family's 1533-position model. The record is from RNAcentral.
GACGAACGCUGGCGGCGUGCCUAAUACAUGCAAGUAGAACGCACAGUUUAUACCGUAGCUUGCUACACCAUAGACUGUGAGUUGCGAACGGGUGAGUAACGCGUAGGUAACCUGCCUGGUAGCGGGGGAUAACUAUUGGAAACGAUAGCUAAUACCGCAUAAUAUUAAUUAUUGCAUGAUAAUUAAUUGAAAGGUGCAAUUGCACCACUACCAGAUGACCUGCGUUGUAUUAGCUAGUAGGUGAGGUAACGGCUCACCUAGGCGACGAUACAUAGCCGACCUGAGAGGGUGAUCGGCCACACUGGGACUGAGACACGGCCCAGACUCCUACGGGAGGCAGCAGUAGGGAAUCUUCGGCAAUGGACGAAAGUCUGACCGAGCAACGCCGCGUGAGUGAAGAAGGUUUUCGGAUCGUAAAGCUCUGUUGUAAGAGAAGAACGGGUGUGAGAGUGGAAAGUUCACACUGUGACGGUAUCUUACCAGAAAGGGACGGCUAACUACGUG